ACGCGUGGAACCUUACCAGCCCUUGACAUGUCCAGGACCGGUCGCAGAGAUGUGACCCUCUCUUCGGAGCCUGGAACACAGGUGCUGCAUGGCUGUCGUCAGCUCGUGUCGUGAGAUGUUGGGUUAAGUCCCCGCAACGAGCGCAACCCCCGUCCUUAGUUGCUACAUUUACGUUGUAGUCACUCUAAGGAGACUGCCGGUGAUAAGCCGCGAGGAAGGUGGGGAUGACGUCAAGUCCUCAUGGCCCUUA
RNAcentral lists this ribosomal RNA (250 nucleotides) under uncultured bacterium. RNAcentral describes it as "partial 16S ribosomal RNA". It matches the Rfam family "Bacterial small subunit ribosomal RNA", at positions 959 to 1204 of the family's 1533-position model. The record is from RNAcentral.